GACGAACGCUGGCGGCGUGCCUAAUACAUGCAAGUUGAGCGCUGAAGGUUGGUACUUGUACCAACUGGAUGAGCAGCGAACGGGUGAGUAACGCGUGGGGAAUCUGCCUUUGAGCGGGGGACAACAUUUGGAAACGAAUGCUAAUACCGCAUAAAAACUUUAAACACAAGUUUUAAGUUUGAAAGAUGCAAUUGCAUCACUCAAAGAUGAUCCCGCGUUGUAUUAGCUAGUUGGUGGGGUAAAGGCUCACCAAGGCGAUGAUACAUAGCCGACCUGAGAGGGUGAUCGGCCACAUUGGGACUGAGACACGGCCCAAACUCCUACGGGAGGCAGCAGUAGGGAAUCUUCGGCAAUGGACGAAAGUCUGACCGAGCAACGCCGCGUGAGUGAAGAAGGUUUUCGGAUCGUAAAACUCGGUUGGUAGAGAAGAACGUUGGUGAGAGUGGAAAGCUCAUCAAGUGACGGUAACUACCCAGAAAGGGACGGCUAACUACGUG
This 497-nucleotide ribosomal RNA is filed under the name uncultured bacterium. RNAcentral's name for it is "partial 16S ribosomal RNA". It matches the Rfam family "Bacterial small subunit ribosomal RNA", at positions 28 to 507 of the family's 1533-position model. The record is from RNAcentral.